RNAcentral lists this ribosomal RNA (660 nucleotides) under Colias elis. Its description in RNAcentral is "partial 16S ribosomal RNA". The record is from RNAcentral. Lineage: Eukaryota; Metazoa; Arthropoda; Insecta; Lepidoptera; Pieridae.
UGGGGGAAAAUUAAUAAAUAAAAUAAAUAAUAAAAAUAAUUAUAAAAAAUAAUUAAUGGGGGUUAAAGUAUUUUUUAGAAAAAAUUUAUUAAUUUAUAGUUUAAUAGUAUUGUGAAAGAAUUUUGAAAUAAAGUUAAAUAUGGAUUAUUAUUUAAGUAAAUUUAAUUUAUUGUAUCUUGUGUAUCAGAGUUUAUUAAUAAAAUAUUUUUAAAUAAAAAUAUCUCGAAUUUAAAAGAGAUAGUUAAUUAUUAAAGUUAAUGUUACAUAAUUAUUUUAAAUAAUUAAUUUGAAAUGAAAUGUUAAUCGUUUUUAAAAAUAUCUAGUUUUUUUAGAAAAAAAUUUAAUUUUAAAUUAAUUUAAUAAUUUUUUAAAUUUGUUAUAUAAAAUUAUAUAUUUAAUUAAAUAUUUUAGGGGAUAAGCUUUAAAUUAAAUUUUUAUAAUAUUAAUAAAUUAUUUAAAUAUUUUAAAAUUUAUAUUUUUUAUAAAUUAUAAUUUUUUAUAAAUAAUUUUAUUUAUUUUAAAAUUUAAAUUUAUAUUUAAAUUUAUAUAAAAAAAUAAUUUUUAAUAAUAAAAAAUUAGUUAUAAUGAUAAAAUUAGUAUAUAAGAAAAAAAAAUAAAAUAAAAUUAAUUAAAAUUAAUAAAAAGGAAUUCGGCAAAAAU